GUCUGCAGCCAUACCACCCUGAACGCAGCGAGUCUCAUCUGAUCUGGGAGGCUUAGCAGGGUCAGGCCUCAGUAGUACCUGGAAGGAAAAUGAAGCACAUAGGAUG
This 106-nucleotide ribosomal RNA is filed under the name Gorilla gorilla gorilla (western lowland gorilla). The record is from RNAcentral. Lineage: Eukaryota; Metazoa; Chordata; Mammalia; Primates; Hominidae.